RNA transcript from Lotus japonicus, 4466 nucleotides. It is a transcript of the gene named WUSCHEL-related homeobox 13-like, with no coding region annotated. The transcript has 7 exons. The record is from RefSeq and is a predicted model, not a curated record. Lineage: Eukaryota; Viridiplantae; Streptophyta; Magnoliopsida; Fabales; Fabaceae.
CCAGAGGGAAAUGAUGUAUGUGAAAGUGAUGACUGAUGAACAGUUGGAAACUCUGAGGAAACAAAUUGCAGUUUAUGCCACCAUUUGUGAGCAACUCAUUGAGAUGCACAGAACAUUCUCAACUCAGCAGGAUCUUGCAGAAAAAUACACAUAACUUUGGGCUUUGACAAGAGAACCCUUCAAAUUUUCAAUUUUAGUUACAAACCUUCUGUUUCAAUAUCAGGUUCUGUGCAUUUUCAGUUGCAAAGCAGGUACAUAAUGGUAGAGCUUUGUUCUAAGUACAAUUUAUUUGUUAUUCUGCAAAUUCCCAUUCAUAUCCUGUUACCUACCCAUGUUGCUUGUUAAAUCAAAGCCUUCAAUGUUAAGGUUUGUGGGACUCCAAUUAGUUUCUCUUGACCAGUUUUGUCAGUUAGAUUUGUCCACAUCAUAUUUAAUUGCAUUUAAAGUACCAGCCUGUUGAUUUAAGUUUUCUUUUAAGCCAACUUGAUUCCACUUGCCAGAAAAUUACAUUGCAAAAUAUCAUAAACACUUCAUUAGUUCAAUUUUAAUAAGAGGGACAUAUAUGAUAUAACUAGAAAUUAAACCCGUGCGUUGCACGGGUAUGUUUUUAAGUUUUGUUGUUCAUUAUUUUUUUAAAAGGUUAAAAAGCUGUUAAAUUGAUGAAAAUGUAGAAUAUAUAGAUAUAUCAACUGUAAUUACAUUGAGGAAGUUCAUUAAAAACUUCAUUGUACACAACAUUUUUUGUAUAUUGUGCAUAUGUGUCGUCUUGCUCAACAAUAAGUAUCUUCAAUCCCUUUGGUGAUGUUACUCUUGACACCGCAACGUAUAGUUGACCGUGACUAAAUACAGGUCUUGGCAAAUAUAAUCCCACAUAGUUCAAUGACUGGCCUUGACUUUUGUUGAUUGUCAUUGCGUAACAAACUUUUAUUGGAAAUUGUUUUCUUCUCAAGAUAAAAGGCCACUUGGAAUCAUUUUUCGUCAGAACUAUCCGUGGUAUAAACACUUUUGCACCAAUGUUGCUUCCCGUUAGUAUUUUUGCCUCUAUUACCCGGUCUCCUAGGCGUAAAAUAAUUAGUCUUGUUCCAUUGCACAAUCCUAGGGCUGGAUUGAUGUUCCUGAGUAGCAUAAUUGGCAUUCCUUUUUUGAGGUCCAAACAAUGGUUUGGAUAUCCGUUGAAACUUAAAGUAUUCAAGAACUCCACCGGGUACAUGAUCUCUUGUUCAACUAUGUUAUCAGUUGCUUUGUCUAUCUGAUCUGAGCUCCUGUAUUGUUUUGCUGUCCCUUCAAUCAUGUGAAUGAUAUAAUUAUUGAUGUCAUCAACUGUAUCAUUCAAAGGAGUGAGGAUUGCUCUUUCUCUGAGAUAGUCUUCAUUUUUUAACUGUUUCUGCAAAUUUGGAUAUGUGCUGUCAACAAUUUGUUUAAUUGAAUCACCUGUUGGCUUUAGUAGAUAUUGGCUUGGUAUUUUUGUCCAUGUUGGAAUAUCUUCACCUUCUCUACAAAUUGUUGUUAUUUUUCCAUCACCAAUCUGCAAUAUCCAUUUGUUGAAUUCAUAUGCCAAUGAACUAAGUCGGGAAGAUGAUGAACUAUCACUAACUCUCAUACUUUUGGACAGCAUAAAGAUCUUGCAGUGGUCCCAUAAGUAAGACUUGUUAAUACAUGAUUGGACUAUGUCUUGUCUUUGGCCUUUUGGUAUUACAGGUAGUAUUUGUCUGAAAUCUCCCCCAAGAAGGGUUGUCUUUCCUCCAAAUGGCUUGAGUGCUUUGUCAGGGUUCUUGUAACCAACAAUGUCUUUCAAUGUUCUAUCAAGGGCUUCAAAUGCCAAUCUCUUAGUCAUUGGUGCUUCAUCCCAAAUAAUCAGAUCUGUCUGAUUUAUUAAUUGAGCAAGGUACCCGAGCGAUGCAGAUAAGCAUCUGUUGGCAAGAAAGACCGGUCUAUCCCGAAAUCAGGUUUGUCCCUCUCCACUCUCAGCUUUCCACAAUUCACCACACUUUUACAUUGUAUCUAAGAGGGAAUCUUUACUCUGUUAAUUUUAAUGUAAUUAUAGUACAUGAUGAACGAACGGACCACAUAAGAAAAUGAAAGAUAAUCUGUUAAGGGAAUGGAAGAAAAGGGGUCAGUUGUAGGUUCAGAUAAAAUUUGCAUGGUUUUGGGUUUUUGUUGAUUUCUCUGGUUUCAUACUGACAUUUGUGGUGGCGUGGUGAGAGAUGCUGUGGGACAGUGUGUCUUGGCUUCAACAGUAACCUGGGCGAGUUCAUGUUCGACGACACCGCCGAGGUGCAGAUAAUCGAUCUCUUGCCAUCCUGAAAAGUUGGGCAAUGGGAUUUUCUCUGUCAAGCAUUUCCUUUAGAUCUUCAACUAUGGUUGCAUCAAGUUCUUCUGCCUUUGCUCCCUUUUUGAAGGAGCGCAUUCUAUUUUGGAUUUCAUUUUCUGUAUCAUGGAUAUAAAGCUGGCAGAAUUUUGGGGUUUCUCCUUCUUCAGUUGCAGAGAUUCAAUGCAGAUCUUCUAAGCGAUUGGGAAUAUGCUCCAAGUUGGACUUUGCAGCGUUCACUUCAGAUCCAAUUGAGGAGUCGUUGAUUUCCAAUAUGGUCUCUGUUACUUUGUCUGGUAAGUUAACUUCAGUUGCUUCCUUCUCAGCCUCUUUCUCAACUUCAGUUGCUUCCUUCUCAGCUUCCUUCUCAAUCUGAUAGAAUUUUUUGGAAUUAUUUUACAAUUUAAUUGACAUUGUUUAAUUGUUAAUUAUUAGAUUAAAUACAAAGUAAUUUUAAUCACCUUCACCGCUGCUUUCAAAAGUUUAUUUGCUGUGAAACUUUGCCUUCCAUGACUCUCAAAGUAGGUACUCAUCUUUAUUUGAAAAACAUGUGAAGAGCCUAUGGUUUUCAGGAGUUGUGGAGGUAGGUCCAAAUCCCUCUUAUCUCCCUAUAUUGUACAAUCAUAGAUGGAUAAAGAUUAGAAUCAUAAUUUUAACAUAAUAAGCAUUUUACGUGUCUUCAUUAUGAUUGAAAAAUGGGCAAAAUUAGUUUGUUCCUGACCUGUUCAAAGGCUGAUAAAAGAUCAUGUAAUUUCACAUGUGCUAUUUGUUCAGCAAUGUCAUCAAAUACAACAAAUAUAGUUGAAUUGGUAGCAUCUCUGACAUCAAGCUCUAAUCGAAACCUAAUAUAAAUAAUAUAGAACAUUAAUAAUUUAAUUUUCAUUUCAUUGAAUAUAUUAUAUUAGAAGUAUUGGUUACCUUGUUGUUGGAUAGUCAACAUUCUUGUGGCAGGAAUCACAACUGAACUUUGUUGAUGUGUUAGAGACCUUUCUUUUGCAAUGAGGGCAGGAAACAUAAAACCACCCGUUUUUCAGCAAGAUGUCAUUUAUAGUUGCAGCACAACAAUAGGAUGUUGAAGUCUAAGGUAUGUAUGAUUUGAGUGUGUUUGAGUUGUUUAUAUAGAGAUAUGCAAUAGUGCAUGAUUUAGUGUAAUUCAAUUAUUUCAAAUUAAUGUAGGUAGAUGAAUAGGCUCUUUGUAUUGCCAAGUUUUAUCAGUUUUAUCAGUUUUUGCAGGGUGGUUCAUUGCUUUGAAAUGGGAGGUUAUGGAUUUGUGCAGAAUUUAUGAAAUUGAGAGACAGUAUUAAUUUCAAUUAACAUUGUUAUUGAAAAAGUGUGCUCAAAAACAUUGUACACGUGAUGUAUAUAGUAUAUAGAAGAUUUCUUUGAGCAGCUGAAGGAAAUUCCGUUGGAAUAAUUUCUUUAAUGUCACUAUGUAGUAUUGUUGUCAGUUUCACAUUUGUCAUUUUCAUUAAGUGCUGUGUAGUCAGUUUUAUAUUUGUCAGUUUCAGGUUGUUGUGUAACUUUCCUUGGUUACUUGUCAGCCUCAUUGAGAAGCAUCUGUCAUCUUUGUAAUUGAAGUUGGAUUUGAUGAAACACAUACGUGUGCAAAGUGUAUUGAAAUCUCUAUUGACCACAUUGGAAACUUAAAUUCUGCAGUACAGUGAAUACUGACUAAAAAAUGAUUUCAUUUAACAUAAGUAACUGAAAAUGGAAAUUAAAAUAGAUUGUUAAUGUGUUUAAUGCAGUUUUUCAAGUGUUUAAUACCUAUAGCUCAAGUGAGCUUUACAUAUAUAUAUAGAUUUUUCGAUUAGAAUGAUUUCUUCUGUGGUAAACUGUCUCUCAUUCUCUGUCUCACCAAAAAAAAAUGUUAACAUGUCAACUAGAAACCUCAUUCAAGUUUAUAGCUUUUACCCCUCGUGUCUUUUUUAACUGACAUGUAUUUAAUUGAUGGAACUGGAAAUUGACACAUAAUUUAAGGACAGAAGAUGUUAAUUGGGAAAAUACUGCUUGAUCGAUUAAAUAAACACUUUUGAACCUCCUAGAUAAAUGUACUCUUGAGAUUCUAUAGAUUAUAGAACCAUGAAAAAUGGGAGAAUUUUGCUUCCUUUACUUGGCAAUUGACAUUUAUUUAUUAAGAUCCUGCACUCUAUAAUUAAAG